This 496-nucleotide ribosomal RNA is filed under the name uncultured bacterium. RNAcentral's name for it is "partial 16S ribosomal RNA". It matches the Rfam family "Bacterial small subunit ribosomal RNA", at positions 29 to 507 of the family's 1533-position model. The record is from RNAcentral.
AUGCACGCUGGCGGCGUGCCUCAUCCCUGCCAGUCGAGCGCACAGACGAGGAGCUUGCUCCUCUGACGUUAGCGGCGGACGGGUGAGUAACACGUGGAUAACCUACCUAUAAGACUGGGAUAACUUCGGGAAACCGGAGCUAAUACCGGAUAAUAUAUUGAACCGCAUGGUUCAAUAGUGAAAGACGGUUUUGCUGUCACUUAUAGAUGGAUCCGCGCCGCAUUAGCUAGUUGGUAAGGUAACGGCUUACCAAGGCAACGAUGCGUAGCCGACCUGAGAGGGUGAUCGGCCACACUGGAACUGAGACACGGUCCAGACUCCUACGGGAGGCAGCAGUAGGGAAUCUUCCGCAAUGGGCGAAAGCCUGACGGAGCAACGCCGCGUGAGUGAUGAAGGUCUUCGGAUCGUAAAACUCUGUUAUUAGGGAAGAACAAAUGUGUAAGUAACUAUGCACGUCUUGACGGUACCUAAUCAGAAAGCCACGGCUAACUACGUG